RNAcentral lists this ribosomal RNA (357 nucleotides) under Serratia marcescens. RNAcentral describes it as "bacterial LSU rRNA". It matches the Rfam family "Bacterial large subunit ribosomal RNA", at positions 144 to 539 of the family's 2925-position model. Lineage: Bacteria; Pseudomonadati; Pseudomonadota; Gammaproteobacteria; Enterobacterales; Yersiniaceae. The record is from RNAcentral.
CACACUAUCAUGUCAUGAAUACAUAGUGGCAUGAGGCGAACCGGGGGAACUGAAACAUCUAAGUACCCCGAGGAAAAGAAAUCAACCGAGAUUCCCCCAGUAGCGGCGAGCGAACGGGGAGGAGCCCAGAACCUGAAUCGGCUUGUGUGUUAGUGGAAGCGUCUGGAAAGUCGCGCAGCAAAGGGUGAUAGCCCCGUACACUAAAAUGCACAGGUCGUGAGUUCGAUGAGUAGGGCGGGACACGUGACAUCCUGUCUGAAUAUGGGGGGACCAUCCUCCAAGGCUAAAUACUCCUGACUGACCGAUAGUGAACCAGUACCGUGAGGGAAAGGCGAAAAGAACCCCGGCGAGGGGAGU